This is a non-coding RNA of Monodelphis domestica (gray short-tailed opossum), 7471 nucleotides long. The record is from RefSeq and is a predicted model, not a curated record. Lineage: Eukaryota; Metazoa; Chordata; Mammalia; Didelphimorphia; Didelphidae.
GAGAGAGAGAGAGAAAUGGGAGGGAGGGAGGAAACUGGGGAAUAAUAAAAUAAGGAUAAUUGCUAUAAUACAAUAUUUGUGUUGGAAGUCAGAGGAGACAAUGUUUUUGUAAGUGGAGACCAGAAUACAGACAUCUUAAAUGCCAGACUUAGGAGUUUGGACUUCAUUAUUAGAUAAGAAAGUGGAGAAUCAUUGACUGGUAUCGAGAAGGGAAAUGAUAUUCUGAUAGUGGCUCUUUAGGAUAUCUAACAUAGUAGUAAUGUGUAGGAUUGACUGAGGUUGGAUGCAGGACAGUUAGGAGAGCAUAUCACAUAGUCUAGUUGUGCAAUAGUAAGACCCAAACCAAGAUGGUCACUGUGGGAAGGGAUAGGAAAGAAUGGAGGUGUGAGAUAUUAUAAAGGAUUAUAGAGUUGCCAGCAAUGUCAGAGAAGAUUUUAAUGAAUACUUUUUUCCCUCAUCUCAUCUUUCUUUCUAUAUGUUCUCUUGUGAGGACAGACUAUAGAUGAUGAGUCAUCAAAGGAGACUGAGACGGAGCAGUGAGAUAGAUAGGAAGAGAUCAAUAAAAUUUUAUUUUCAAAAAAAGUUAUCUUCUGGCCUUUACCAACAUUGUUCCUUUUUGUUUUUUACUCAUCUGCUUUUUCUAUCAAUCUAUAAAUAAUUACUGUGCUUAUUAUAUGCAAGGCACUGUGCUAACUAUGGAGGAAACAAAGAAAAAGCAGAAAUGAUGAUUCUGACAAUGGGUGUGUGGCCUUUAGGUCUCUAAGGUGGAGAAAAUGCCAUGUCCUGGGGAUCCAGGAGAGGAUUACCAAGUGUAUGUAGGUUGCAUUGAAUUCUGGAGAGUCCUGGCUAUUAUUAGGGCAUAAAAGCUUUUCAAAAGAGGUUUUUAUGGAUGGUAAAAACUGUCUUGGGUUAAGUGAGUGGCAGAGAGAACCACACAUGAAAGCCAUAUACUAGUUAUGUCUAUUUAGGUAGUAAAUCUUAGGUUUUCAGUUAGAAGUUGAAUCUAUUAUGGAAUUUCAAGUUCACUUUUCCCCUGAUCAUGGCAUACUUCCCAAUGGAGACUGCACCCUGUUUUUUUUUAUCCCAUUGUCUCGUUUAUUGCUUUAAUCUCUUUUGUUUACUCAAUGAAUCUCAUUUAUCUUUGCACCUUAUAAUUUCCUCUCUCAGAGGCCCUUGUGUAGAAGAUGUUCCCCACUGUUGAUAUUUUUUAAAAGAGGCAUUAAUUACAGUUUCUUUCUUCCCCCUCUCCAAACAGACACAUCCAGAAUGAAGUGAGAACUUUUUUUUCCUCCAAGAAGAGCCUGAAGACCUAAUUAACUACAAAAUGAGCCAAGAUUGCAUUUUAUUUAUUUUUAUUUUUCAGAUUGUCUCAGUUUAAAAUAUUUGGCUGUCUAGUAAAUGGAGUGGGUAAAACUAAAUGUGGCACAUCUGAUCAUUAGUGUUGGUGGGGUGGAGUGUGGGGGCCCUCCUGCCAUGGCAGUUCUUAAAGAAUGAGGCAGAAAAGCCAUGUAACUACCACCCAUUGGCCUUGGUCUGUCGUCUACCCUUGAGAAGCUGAGAAAAAGAUACUAUAGAGGAUGAAUAUCAUUGAAUAUCCGCAGAGGAUUUGUUUAAGGGCUAAAUGUUUAAAGUCCCUAAGCUAACAUAUAAGUCCCUAAGUUAAUAUUUUAAGUAUUAUCUGAGAUCUAAGAAUUGAUUAAGUAGACAUUAUGAAUAUGUGCCUAUGUGUAUCUCUAUGCUAUGUGGGUGGAUGGGAUAAUGUUAUUAGACAUGUUAUAUUUGACAUAUAAAAGAUAAGCAUAAUCUAAAACUUGAAAUGUAACCAAGGAGAGUCAAUUUAACAUGAUUAAAUAGAAAUUAAGUCUCAAAUGUGUGCCAAACACUAUUAGCUAGAGAUCUAAAAAUGAAAAAGACUGUAGUCUAUGCCCUGAAGGAGCUUAAAAUCUAAUGGAGAGAGGAGGGAAUAUCUAUAAAUAAGUAUGACAAAAGUGAAGACAUGAGAAGGAAAGAGACAAAAAACACUCUUAAGAAAGUUGGAAAUGGGAGUGAAAACUUUCAAGUCAGGGGAAGAAGUGAAAUGUAAGCUAAGACUGAAGAAGCAAAAGAUUUCAACAGAAGAUAAGAAAGAAGUGAUUUCAAGAUCUGGAGUAUUACCAGCAUGAUACGCAAAGAAUGAGAAGUCCUCAACAUCAAAUGGAGCAUCAGAAAGGCCAAGUGAAGUAGUUGGCCCUUUUAAGGAGAAAGUCUAUUCUGUAGAGAAUAAAGAAAAGGAAAAGAGAAUGGAGGAUGAUUUAGAGGAUUUAAAACAGGUGAAAACACAGCCCAUACUUGGAUAUGAAAGAUGAAAGAAACCUAGGGAUCCAAAGUGUGUUGAUCUUUAUUUUUCCUCCAUCCUGGAUCACUGGAUUAGAGAGUAAGGUAAAAGAAAUCUGGACAUUAACAAUUAAGCAUUAGUACAAGAAUUCCUAGGUUUGUACCCUACCUUAGACACUAGCUUGAUGAUCAUUGACAAUCACUUAGACUUAAAGUCCAGUCAUUUACAGCUUAAUGGAAGAUGGGGUGGAAAUCUCUAAAGGAAGGACACAAAUUUCUGUGGAUGGCUGGAUAUUGUUGUUGUUUUUAAUAUAUUUAUUAAUAACUUGGUCCAAGUCAUACAUGGCAAGGUAUACAGCUGACAGAGCAUGACUAUAGAAAGGAUAGCCGAUUGUGUCAGAUGGAAAUGGAAGAAUCAAUUUUCAAAAGAGACUCUGAUAGACCAGAACAUGGAUCAGAACUCAAGAUAAAACUUAAUAGGGAUAAAUGUCACGUCUUACAUAAAAAAAUUUUUAAUCAGCUUCACGAGAGGUCUACAAAAAUUAAAUGCAUUUCUUCAACUCUGAGCUCUAGUCACAGGGUAUAUUUAAACAGAUGUCGAAGGACUAACAGUUACUUAUUAGGCUUAUCAUGAGGGAUUUAUGUUAGUUUAAUUAGAUAGGCUCUGAGGUUCCUUCCAGAUCUAAGAUAUUGUGAUUCUAUGACAUACUUUCCAAGAGUUCAAACUUGGAUCUGAGAUAGUCCAUGUUCAAACUGCACCCCGUGCACUGUCCUUUUUUUUACUCUUGGUUUCCUUUGUUUAUGAAACAAAGCAAGGUGUUUUGGCUCAAGGUCAUACUAUGAAUUUGUCAGAAGAUUAGAACUAGAACUCCUCUCUCCUGACUCUCAGUUCACUGAUCUUGCAAUCUGGCUUCCCAGUUAUAUUAUUCAUCCCUUAGGAGCAAAGGCCAUAUAUUAUUCAUCAUUUAUCCCUCCCAUUUCUCUUCCAGUGCCUUGCACACUAGGCAUCCAACAAAUGUCUUUUCAAUCUUUUCCUUAAGCUAUUUAACUUUUCCAUGACUUUUUCUUCUGUUAAAUAUUUUUUCCUCCUGUCUAUCCCCUUCCUUGUUCUUUACACUUAUCCCUUAUCUACAUGAUCCACAGACACUACACACUCAAUCUAAGUUACAAAGUGCACAUCUUGUAUUUUGCAAGGUUGCCAGCAAUAAUCAACUUGUCUGCCCCUCAAUGGAAAAAAAGCUUUUUAUUCUCUAUUAUUUUCAUUUUCUUUAAAUAUUCUGGAUCCUGCUAGAGAAACCAGUUACUAGAUUGGCCUAGAGAGGAAUUACUGAUGAUUCAGAGUGUGUGGAUAGACAGAGGAUGUCUGUACAAGCCAUGAUGUGAGCUUCAGGUGAGGGCCACUGCCAGGCAAGGGUCUAUUAUAUAAGUUAUCAGUCUAUAAAAAAAUAGGUGUCUGCUGCUUCCUUAUUUAGAACUUAAAUGUCACUUCCUUAUAAAGAACAAUCUGCCCCAUCAAUCACUCACUUCCAGGAACAUAAAUGUCUUUGUUUUGACAGGAGGAGAAGGAUUGAGAACACAAUAGUGAGAUUAGUGCAAUUCCAUCUUGUCAAUCAUAUCUUUUACUCAAUAGACUUUCAGGAUUAGGCAGUUUCUCUGACAAUCUCUGGUUUCUGCUUACAAGGAAAAGGACUGCUCUCCCACGGUAGCUUAGUGCAUCCAGGAUUUGUAGUGUAAUCAUGUCAUCUACUUUAUUUGUUAUGUCCAUUCAGUCUGAAACAAUAAAAAAAUGUCCUUCUGUAAAUAAGGAUUUGCUAACAUUUCUUUUAUGAUUCUCGCCCACUUAAUAAACCUUGUGGGUAUACUCUACCCUUAAAUAUUUUUACAAGUUGUUGUUCAGUCCUAUUCAACUCUUUGUGACCUUAUUUGUGAUUUUCUUGGCAAAGAUAUUGGAGUUGUUGGCCAUUUCCUUCUCCAGCUCAUUUUACAGAUGAGAAAACUGAGGCAAACUGAGUAAAAGUGACUUGGCUAGGUUCACAUAGCUAGUAAGUUUCUGAGAUCAAAUUUGAACUCUGGUCUUCCUUUCUCUAGGCCCUGCAUUCUAUCCACUGCAUCAUCUACAUUUUAAAAGUAGAAAUCAUGAUAGACUUUUGGGGGAUGACAAGAAUAUGCCAAGGACUCCAAGAUGGCAGUGUAGAGGCAGGGAAAGCACAAAAUACUAUGAGAAUCUCUCCAACCAACCUUAAAAUAACACUUCAAAAUGAAUACUGAAGUGGAAGAACCCAUACUGAGAUGGGGUUAAGCAACUUUCAUGCAGAAAACAAAUUAAAAGGUAGGCAGAGGGGAUCUGUUUCACUGGGAUAUGAGGGAGUGCAGUCAGCAGAGACCACAACAAGGAGUACUCUCAAACCAACAGUAAGACAUAUCUACUGUUCCAGGUUCUGAAUCUGAGCCCAAGCCAAUGUCUAGAUCCUGAGAUCCCUCCUGAACUAAAAGCAAUGCAACCCCAAGUACACCUCAUAAAGUUCCAAGGACCAGAAUCCCAGCCCAAAGCAGUCCACAAGAUAUACCUGAUCUGUGUUAAGUCCAGAAUAAAGCUGGGAGUUCCAGCCCAAACAUGGACUUUAGGAAGGCCUUGAACCCCAGCGCCAAGUAGUACAGACUACACCUGGUCUGUGUAAGCCCAGAGUGAGUCUCCAAGCUCCAGAGAAAGAUAGUCUAGAGUGCCUACCUAAGCCCUUACUCAAACUCAAGGUGAAGUUACAAGGCAAAGCAAUCUACAAUGUGGCUGACCUGAUCAAGCCUGGAGUGAGACUAAAAGCCUCUGCCCAAGCCUGAGGCCAGACUCUAAGCCCCAGCACAGGGUAGCUCAUGGGGCUCCCAACUCUGUAGGCCAUCAACAGUCUCAGGGGAUGAUUGAAUCAACAGUGAGAAGUGGAUUUUAGAGCUUCCAGUCUAAAGUCCAUCUUACUACUUUGGAAGAACUGAAACUUGCAGAAACCCAGAAUAGAGCUAAGGGUAGCAGCAUGGAAAACAUGAAAUUUAAUAGAGUGUCUCAUUUAUCCUGAGAACAAAGCCCAUCUUUAAGAUAAAAAAGCUGGAAAAAUGAGUAAACUGCAAAAAAAUCUAACUAAAGAAGAUUUUUAUGGAGACAAAGAUCAAGGCACAGAUAGAGAAGGGGACACUGAAAAUAAAGCAAACACAUACAAAACAUCAAAGAAGUAUAUGAAUUGGUCUCAGGCUUUGAAAAAGCUCAAAAAAGAUUUAAAAACCAAUUAAAAGAGGCAAAAUGGGGAAGAGAAAUAAAAAAUGAAAGAAGAAUAUAAUGACAGAAUUGACUAAAUGAAAAAAGAGAUUCAAAAAUUCAAAGAAGAAAAUCAUAUCUUAAAAAAUUAGAAUUAGUCUACCAAAAGCUAAUGAUAUCAAGAAACAAUAAAACAAAAUCAAAAGAAUGGGGAAAAAAAACAGAAUAAAACAUGAAAUAUCUCAUUGAAAAAAAAAUGACAUCGAAAACAGAUCCAGGAGAGACAAUUUAAGAAUUAUUAUAUUACCUGAAAGCCAAAUGAUAACUCCAAAGAAUAUUAUAGCCAAAUUCAAGAGCCUCCUGAUCAAAGAGAAAAUACUGUGAGCAACCAGAAAGAAGAAAUUCAAAUGUUAUGGAGCUGCAGUCAGGAUUACAGAGGACUUAAUAGCCUCGACCUGGAAGAUUUGGAAUAUAAUAUACUGGAAGUCAAAAGAGCUGGGUUUACAACACAAAAUCGUCUAUCUAGCAAAACUAAGUAUAUUCUUCCAAGGGAAAAAUGGUCAUUUCAAUAUAAGAUUUGCAAGCAUUUUUGUUGAUAAUACCAGACCUAAAUAGAAAAUUUGAUGUCCAAAUAUAAGACCUAAGGGAAAUCUAAAAAAGUAAAUAAGAAAGAGAAAAUUUAAGGAACUUAAUAAGGCCAAACUCUAUGUAUUCCAAAUGGAAAAAUGAUAUUUUUAAUUCUUAAAAAUUCUUACUGGUAGAGCAUUUAGAAGGAGUAUAUGUAGACAGAAAGUAUGAGUAAAUUGAUUAGGAUGAUAUGCAAAAGAAAAUCAAAAGGUGAAAAAAGCGAUUUCACUGAGAGAAAAGUAAAGGGAAAGGUGGAAUGGAGUAAAUUAUCUCUCCUAAAGAAGUGUGAUUAAAACUAAUACAGUGGAGGGGAGGUUGAGGGUGGUUAAUGGCAAUGCUUAAACCUUAUUCUCAUCAUAACUGACUGAAAGAGGGAAUAACAGCCAUAUUCAUUUGGGUAUAGAAUACUAUCUUACCCUUUAGGGUAUUAGGAGGGGAAUAAAACAAGAGGGGAGUAAUAGAAGGGAGGAAAAGUAGGGGAUGGUGAUUAAAAUCAAAGCACCUAUGAAGAGGUGCUUUUUAUGGUAGUAAAGAAUUGGAAAUUGAGGGAAUGUCUAUUAGUUGGAAAAUGGCUGCACAAAUUGUGGUACAUGAUAGUGAUGGAAUACUAUUGUGCUAUAAGAAAUGAUAAGCAAGAUGGUUUCAGAAGAAAAUGGAAAGAUCUCCAUGAAUAGAUGCAGAAUGAAAUAAGCAGAACCAGAAGAACUUUGUACACAGUUAGAGCAAUAUUGUGCAAUGACCAACUUUGAAAACUUGGCUAUUAUCAGCAGUACAAUGAUCUAGGUCAAUUCUGAAAGACUUAUGAUGGGGAAUACUAUCCAAUUCCAGAGAAAGAACUGCUGGAGUCAUAUGGGUAGGGAUCAGUGCAUACUAUCUUUCACAACAGUGUAUUUGCAGUUUUAUUUUAGAGUUUUAGUUUUGUGUGUGUGUUCUUACAAUGACCAAUUUGGAAGUGAAUGUUGCAUGAUAAUACAUGUAUGGCCCAAAUUGAUUACUGUCUCUGACAAGGAGGAGGGAAGAUAUGGAGGGGAGAAAGUUUGCAUCUCAUAAUUUUGGAAAAGGUCUGUUGAAAAUUAUUAUUUACAUGUUACUGGGAAAACAAAAUAUCUUUGAAUUUUAAAAAGAUUAAAAAGUAGCAAUCAUGAUAAUGGUCAAAUGAUAUUCCCAUUAACUUGGUCUCCAUGUUUAUAGCAGUGACUUUUAACCUUCACAGUAUCUUUUGGAUAAAUUUCAGAGCAUCCCUGAACUUGGAUGGGAAAGAAAAAUAUGUCUUUAUUUUCACUAGCCUGC